CACCUGCGCACUGCCCUGCUGGAAUGUUGCAGCACCUCACCCAACCACCGCUUAAAGAGUUUGCUGACUUCAUAGAUGCUGAGAUUACCAUAAUAAACCUCAAAAUAUAUCGCUGCUUGCUUCACACUGGAAAUCUGUCUUCAGAUGUUAUUAAUAAGACAGUGCAAUCUGCAGUUCCAGCAAGAAGAAAAAGCCAUCGGUCAUAUAAAUCUCCUAACCAACAAUCUGAAUUUGAAUGAUAACAAAAUGUGUCUCUAAUCUCCUGAUACAUGACAAUUGCUUCUGCUAAAUGCUAUGUAAAACAAUGUUACUAGAAAUUAACACCGUUUUUAAUUCCACUGGUAUUGGCACUAAUGCUCGUAUUUCUUGCAUGCAUAUUAUCCUACUAAUUCCAUUAGGUCUUUUGUGCAUAGCAAUGCUAACCCUGCUCUUCUAUAACUGGC
This 443-nucleotide long non-coding RNA is filed under the name Fukomys damarensis (Damara mole-rat). RNAcentral describes it as "lncRNA (ENSFDAG00000030336.1)". The record is from RNAcentral. Lineage: Eukaryota; Metazoa; Chordata; Mammalia; Rodentia; Bathyergidae.